This 82-nucleotide transfer RNA is filed under the name Piptocephalis tieghemiana. Its description in RNAcentral is "tRNA-Leu". It matches the Rfam family "tRNA". From Rfam's summary of the family: Transfer RNA (tRNA) molecules are approximately 80 nucleotides in length. Their secondary structure includes four short double-helical elements and three loops (D, anti-codon, and T loops). Further hydrogen bonds mediate the characteristic L-shaped molecular structure. tRNAs have two regions of fundamental functional importance: the anti-codon, which is responsible for specific mRNA codon recognition, and the 3' end, to which the tRNAs corresponding amino acid is attached (by aminoacyl-tRNA synthetases). tRNAs cope with the degeneracy of the genetic code in two manners: having more than one tRNA (with a specific anti-codon) for a particular amino acid; and 'wobble' base-pairing, i.e. permitting non-standard base-pairing at the 3rd anti-codon position. The record is from RNAcentral. RNAcentral also lists the same sequence under 1 other name. Lineage: Eukaryota; Fungi; Zoopagomycota; Zoopagomycetes; Zoopagales; Piptocephalidaceae.
GGAGAGAUGGCCGAGCGGUCUAAGGCGCCACGUUAAGGCCGUGGUCUCUUCGGAGGCGUGGGUUCGAAUCCCACUCUCUUCA